This 316-nucleotide unclassified non-coding RNA is filed under the name Hevea brasiliensis (rubber tree). Lineage: Eukaryota; Viridiplantae; Streptophyta; Magnoliopsida; Malpighiales; Euphorbiaceae. The record is from RNAcentral.
GGAUCACACAAUUAGUGGGACACUUUGCAAGAUCAAGCACACUCAGCGUGAUGGUAGUGCUGUGGCUGUGCUUGAAAGUACGGGAGGCAAGGGAUCGGUGAUGGUUAAUGGGUUGACUGUCAAGAAGAGCACCAACUGUGUGCUAAAUUCGGGUGACGAGGUGGUCUUUGGUGCUUUGGGGAAUCAUGCUUAUAUAUUUCAACAACUUAUGAAUGAGGUUUCAGUUAAAGGUCUAGAUGUUCAGAGUGGUGUUGGAAAAUUCUUGCAGCUCGGAAAGAGGACUGGCGAUCCGUCUGCUGUGGCCGGGGCCUCGAUC